AGAGAAGCGCAAACGGUGGAUGCCUUGGCAGUAAGAGGCGAAGAAGGACGUGGAAUCCUGCGAAAAGCUAUGGGGAGCUGGAAACGAGCGUUGAGCCAUAGAUGUCCGAAUGGGGGAACCCGGCUGCAGCGAUGCGGUCAUUUGCAUUUGAAUACAUAGGAUGCAAAGGCGAACUCGGGGAACUGAAACAUCUAAGUACCCGAAGGAAAAGAAAUCAAGAGAGAUUCUCCAAGUAGCGGCGAGCGAACGGGGAGGAGCCUGGCGUGAUUUAUUAUUGAACUGAGUAGAACAAUUUGGGAAAGUUGGCCGUAGAGGGUGAAAGCCCCGUAUACGAAGGUUUGAUGAGGAACUAGGCACGCGAACAAGUAGGCCGGGACACGUGAAAUCCUGGUUGAAGAUGGGUGGACCAUCAUCCAAGGCUAAAUACUACUUACUGACCGAUAGUGAACCAGUACCGUGAGGGAAAGGUGAAAAGAACCCCGGAGAGGGGAGUGAAAUAGAAUCUGAAACCGUUUGCGUACAAGCAGUGGGAGCAUAGUUUAGGCUGUGUGACUGCGUACCUUUUGUAUAAUGGGUCAGCGAGUUACUUUCAGUGGCGAGGUUAACUGAAUAAGGGAGCCGUAGAGAAAUCGAGUCUGAAUAGGGCGAUAGUCGCUGGGAGUAGACCCGAAACCGGGCGAUCUAGCCAUGUGCAGGAUGAAGGUUGGGUAACACCAACUGGAGGUCCGAACCGGGUAAUGUUGAAAAAUUAUCGGAUGACGUGUGGCUAGGAGUGAAAGGCUAAUCAAGCCCGGAGAUAGCUGGUUCUCCCCGAAAGCUAUUUAGGUAGCGCCUCGUGAAUGAUUACUGGGGGUAGAGCACUGUUUCGGCUAGGGGGCUGUCAUGGCUUACCAAACCGAUGCAAACUCCGAAUACCG
RNAcentral lists this ribosomal RNA (917 nucleotides) under Legionella pneumophila. RNAcentral's name for it is "partial 23S ribosomal RNA". It matches the Rfam family "Bacterial large subunit ribosomal RNA", at positions 1 to 965 of the family's 2925-position model. Lineage: Bacteria; Pseudomonadati; Pseudomonadota; Gammaproteobacteria; Legionellales; Legionellaceae. The record is from RNAcentral.